UGGGGAAUAUUGGACAAUGGGCGCAAGCCUGAUCCAGCCAUGCCGCGUGAGUGAAGAAGGCCCUAGGGUUGUAAAGCUCUUUCACCGAUGAAGAUAAUGACUGUAGUCGGAGAAGAAGCCCCGGCUAACUUCGUGCCAGCAGCCGCGGUAAUACGAAGGGGGCUAGCGUUGUUCGGAAUUACUGGGCGUAAAGCGCGCGUAGGCGGAUACUUAAGUCAGGGGUGAAAUCCCGAGGCUCAACCUCGGAACUGCCUUUGAUACUGGGUAUCUUGAGUUCGAGAGAGGUAAGUGGAAUUCCGAGUGUAGAGGUGAAAUUCGUAGAUAUUCGGAGGAACACCAGAGGCGAAGGCGGCCUGCUGGGGCUUUUCUGACGCUGAGGCGCGAAAGCGUGGGGAGCAAACAGGAUUAGAUACCCUGGUAGUCCACGCUGUAAACGAUGAGCACUCGAUGUGCGAGGUACGACCCCUCGCGUGUCACAGCUAACGCAUUAAGUGCUCCGCCUGGGGACUACGGUCGCAAGACUA
RNAcentral lists this ribosomal RNA (524 nucleotides) under uncultured bacterium. Its description in RNAcentral is "bacterial SSU rRNA". It matches the Rfam family "Bacterial small subunit ribosomal RNA", at positions 355 to 896 of the family's 1533-position model. The record is from RNAcentral.